UGCUCUGGCUGGAGUUACUGCUAUACUCCGCCAUGUUGAGCCGCUUUGUUUUUGCCGCUCAGUCUGACUGAGAGGGGCGUGGCCUGGGGGCGUGGCCUGGGGGGAAGUGACAGAUGUGCAUUCACUCUGUAGAGUUAUGAACAAUUCUUUGAAAGGUCAUUCUGAGGUCAGCUCCAUAACUAUGAUAGCACAAAUGAAAAUGUGAACGGCACAAACCAGCACAAACGAAUGAGACUAUUUAUCCACAGGUUUUGGUUGGGGGGGGGGGGGGGGCAACUUCAUGCAGGUUUGACCAGGACUCUUGUGUUAUAGUGGACUCUGGAGGACUGGGUUAACACUGGAUAUAGAUUUGGUUUGGAGCCAGGGCUUUACCUCAGACCAGUUCAACCACGUCAGCCCUGGUUCUGGUUCUGGUUCCACCAAACCACCUGCAUCCCAUAAACUACUGUUAGAGGAGAUGCUGGAUUAUUUAUUUUUGACUUAGUGAAGGUCAGUUUGCUGUGACAGAAAUAAGUGUAAAUAAGGACAGGUGGGACCGUCUGCACGGGGGGGGUCAGGUUCCACUACAUUUCACACAUUCAUCCCACGGACCGGACCGAACCGGACCCUUAGGUGGGCCGGAUUUGCCCCCCCGGGCAGGUUUGACACCCCUGGUCUACACUCAAGUUCCAAGUUGUGACAAAAUUCAGAUAGAAUUCCUGCUUUUUUUUUUCCAGCCUUUCUUCCUGAACUUCCAGGUGGUGGUUUUCCUUCUGUAGAUCUACAGCAGCAGAGUUUAAAUGUUUUAACGUAGGGUCGGCUUUAAGAGGAGGCGGAGUUUAAAUGUUUUAACGUAGGGUCGGCUUUAAGAGGAGGCGGAGUUUAAAUGUUUUAACGUAGGGUCGGCUUUAAGAGGAGGCAGAGUUUAAAUGUUUUAACGUAGGGUCGGCUUUAAGAGGAGGCGGAGUUUAAAUGUUUUAACGUAGGGUCGGCUUUAAGAGGAGGCAGAGUUUAAAUGUUUUAACGUAGGGUCGGCUUUAAGAGGAGGCGGAGUUUAAAUGUUUUAACGUAGGGUCGGUUUUAAGAGGAGGCGGAGUUUAAAUGUUUUAACGUAGGGUCGGCUUUAAGAGGAGGCGGAGUUUAAAUGUUUUAACGUAGGGUCGGCUUUAAGAGGAGGCGGAGUUUAAAUGUUUUAACGUAGGGUCGGCUUUAAGAGGAGGCGGAGUUUAAAUGUUUUAACGUAGGGUCGGCUUUAAGAGGAGGCGGAGUUUAAAUGUUUUAACGUAGGGUCGGCUUUAAGAGGAGGCGGAGUUUAAAUGUUUUAACGUAGGGUCGGCUUUAAGAGGAGGCGGAGUUUAAAUGUUUUAACGUAGGGUCGGCUUUAAGAGGAGGCGGUGCGAGGUUGAACUCAGGGUUGAGGUCAGAGCAAUAAUACAUGCAGGGGUCACCCAGGUGUCCAGGGUCAGGGUGACCCAGGUGUCCCGGGUCAGGGUGACCAGGUGUCCCGGGUCAGGGUCACCCAGGUGUCCCGGGUCAGGGUGACCAGGUGUCCCGGGUCAGGGUCACCCAGGUGUCCCGGGUCAGGGUCACCCAGGUGUCCCGGGUCCAGACUCCCUGUUCCACCCAUGAAACCACUUCAUUUCUCCUGAAUGGUCUUCCUGUCUUUCUUCUACAUUUGGUUUGAUGACAGAAUAGUUUUCGAAGUUCAGCUGAUUGUAAAUCUAAACAUACUCAUGUGUACCAGGACCAUUUUUCAUGUAAAUCACUGUUUUUGUUCAAUUAAUGACUAUUUGAAGAAGUCUAUCAUUUUCUAUCCUAAUCUUCACUUUGGUUUGACAGAUCCUUUCUCUGGAUGAACUUUGUGAACCCACUGCAGGUGAACGCUGUGGGGCUUCUGGGAAAAAAAACACUGUAGAUCUUGUAGAUCUUGAAUCAUUCAAGCUUUGUAAGAACUGGGUGACUAAAGGAUGAUGCAUUUACUGGCUUUUUUCAAUGUUCUGAAGAUUAAAUCUAUGCAAGAUUCUGA
Molecule: long non-coding RNA, 2005 nt
Organism: Sphaeramia orbicularis (orbiculate cardinalfish)
Lineage: Eukaryota; Metazoa; Chordata; Actinopteri; Kurtiformes; Apogonidae
Exons: 2
Source: RefSeq, a predicted model, not a curated record